Gossypium hirsutum (cotton) is the source of this 119-nucleotide non-coding RNA. Lineage: Eukaryota; Viridiplantae; Streptophyta; Magnoliopsida; Malvales; Malvaceae. The record is from Rfam.
GGGUGUGACAAUACAAGCAGUAAAGCAUCGGAUCCCCGUAGAGCUCUGUAGUUAAGCGUGCUUGCGGGAUAGUAGUACUAUGAUGGGUGACCUUUUGGGAAGUCUUCGUUUUGCACCUC